UAGGGUGCCACACUGACAGAAAUCUUUAGCCCCCCCCCCAUAAGAAGGGCAGCAGUGCCAGCCCCCCCAGUGCCCUGCCAAUGUGCCUCAGUCCUGUGCUAUGAGGACUAUUUUGUGACUUGGGAAAGGAGUUCAGUCUCCAUGCCUCAUUCAGUCCUUGGCCUCU
This 166-nucleotide small RNA is filed under the name Chrysemys picta bellii (western painted turtle). Its description in RNAcentral is "TUC338 (ENSCPBG00000025013.1)". The record is from RNAcentral. Lineage: Eukaryota; Metazoa; Chordata; Testudines; Emydidae.